RNAcentral lists this transfer RNA (92 nucleotides) under bacterium. RNAcentral's name for it is "tRNA-Ser". It matches the Rfam family "tRNA". From Rfam's summary of the family: Transfer RNA (tRNA) molecules are approximately 80 nucleotides in length. Their secondary structure includes four short double-helical elements and three loops (D, anti-codon, and T loops). Further hydrogen bonds mediate the characteristic L-shaped molecular structure. tRNAs have two regions of fundamental functional importance: the anti-codon, which is responsible for specific mRNA codon recognition, and the 3' end, to which the tRNAs corresponding amino acid is attached (by aminoacyl-tRNA synthetases). tRNAs cope with the degeneracy of the genetic code in two manners: having more than one tRNA (with a specific anti-codon) for a particular amino acid; and 'wobble' base-pairing, i.e. permitting non-standard base-pairing at the 3rd anti-codon position. The record is from RNAcentral.
GGAGAGAUGUCCGAGCUGGCCUAAGGAGCACGACUGGAAAUCGUGUAAACGUCAAAAGCGUUUCGAGGGUUCGAAUCCCUCUCUCUCCGCCA